This 23-nucleotide small nuclear RNA is filed under the name Arabidopsis thaliana (thale cress). Its description in RNAcentral is "snRNA_15014". The record is from RNAcentral. Lineage: Eukaryota; Viridiplantae; Streptophyta; Magnoliopsida; Brassicales; Brassicaceae.
CUUGUUUUAAGGUACACAUAAAA